Long non-coding RNA from Carya illinoinensis, 624 nucleotides. RefSeq lists it as uncharacterized. The record is from RefSeq and is a predicted model, not a curated record. The transcript is spliced from 4 exons. NCBI's taxonomy places the organism in Eukaryota, Viridiplantae, Streptophyta, Magnoliopsida, Fagales, Juglandaceae.
UUUUUGCUAUCAUUUUUAUUUUUUAUUUAUUUACAAGCAAAUUGUUGGUAAGCAUUUCUUUUGUGUUUAUGGCUUCCCAUGGGAUGAUAAGGAGCACAUGCCCUCUAUCAUGAACACAUUAAUUCUAUCUUCUUCAUUUCACAUUGGUUUCCUUUGUCUCAAAUGUGACUUUUUUUCCUGAAUUGUGCCAGGCCUUGUGGAUCAGGCAUCAUUGAAGUAGCUGAGUUCAUACAUCAACCUCAUUCUCAACUUGUUCCCUGAAAGGCUGUCAAAUCAUGCAUACCCCAAAAGCCUAAUGUUUUGGGUGGGGGGAUUCAGAGCUUAGCAUUUCUUGCUUUCAACUUUAUAAUGCUUGACUUCAAUUGUCAAUGUCGAUGUCAAUAUAAGAACACGGUGGGAAACUAGCAUGGUAAUGCAUCAGAUUCAGUGCUAGCACUUUAAAGCUAAUGUUAUGAUUGGUCCACCUACAUCGACUAUUGAUGGAAGGAGUUUGUUGCAGUGAUAUGAUAUUGGAUCUUCUUUGAACUACCAACUAGGGGGUGAACGACGAGAUGUAGUUUCUAUAAUUUAUGUAAUUCAGGUCAAUCUCAAAACUUGACAUUAAUGUGUAAUUUGUGUAACUAA